This 497-nucleotide ribosomal RNA is filed under the name uncultured bacterium. Its description in RNAcentral is "partial 16S ribosomal RNA". It matches the Rfam family "Bacterial small subunit ribosomal RNA", at positions 28 to 507 of the family's 1533-position model. The record is from RNAcentral.
GAUGAACGCUGGCGGCGUGCCUAAUACAUGCAAGUCGAGCGAACAGAUGAGGAGCUUGCUCCUCUGACGUUAGCGGCGGACGGGUGAGUAACACGUGGAUAACCUACCUAUAAGACUGGGAUAACUUCGGGAAACCGGAGCUAAUACCGGAUAAUAUAUUGAACCGCAUGGUUCAAUAGUGAAAGACGGUUUUGCUGUCACUUAUAGAUGGAUCCGCGCCGCAUUAGCUAGUUGGUAAGGUAACGGCUUACCAAGGCAACGUUGCGUAGCCGACCUGAGAGGGGGAUCGGCCACACUGGAAAGGCGACACGGUCCAGACUCCUAAGGGAGGCAGCAGGAGGGAAUAUUCCGCAAUGGGCGAAAGCCUGACGGAGCAACGCCGCGUGAGUGAUGAAGGUCUUCGGAUCGUAAAACUCUGUUAUUAGGGAAGAACAAAUGUGUAAGUAACUAUGCACGUCUUGACGGUACCUAAUCAGAAAGCCACGGCUAACUACGUG